This 84-nucleotide transfer RNA is filed under the name Streptomyces sp. CB01881. It matches the Rfam family "tRNA". From Rfam's summary of the family: Transfer RNA (tRNA) molecules are approximately 80 nucleotides in length. The record is from Rfam by way of RNAcentral. Lineage: Bacteria; Bacillati; Actinomycetota; Actinomycetes; Kitasatosporales; Streptomycetaceae. RNAcentral also lists the same sequence under 2 other names.
GCGGCCUUGGCGUAACCGGCAGCCGCGCGGGUUUUAGGUGCCCGUGGGAGAAAUCCCGUGAGGGUUCGAAUCCCUCAGGCCGCA